This 775-nucleotide ribosomal RNA is filed under the name uncultured Rhizophagus. RNAcentral's name for it is "SSU rRNA". It matches the Rfam family "Eukaryotic small subunit ribosomal RNA", at positions 338 to 1114 of the family's 1831-position model. The record is from RNAcentral. Lineage: Eukaryota; Fungi; Glomeromycota; Glomeromycetes; Glomerales; Glomeraceae.
GGCCUACCAUGGUGGUAACGGGUAACGGGGUGUUAGGGCACGACACCGGAGAGGGAGCCUGAGAAACGGCUACCACAUCCAAGGAUGGCAGCAGGCGCACAAAUUACCCAAUCCCGACAAGGGGAGGUAGUGACAAUAAAUAACAAUACGGGGUUCUUUUGGAUCUCGUAAUUGGAAUGAGUACAAUUUAAAUCUCUUAACGAGGAACAAUUGGAGGGCAAGUCUGGUGCCAGCAGCCGCGGUAAUUCCAGCUCCAAUAGCGUAUAUUAAAGUUGUUGCAGUUAAAAAGCUCGUAGUUGAAUUUCGGGAUCAGUAGGUUGGUCGUGCCACUGGUAUGCACUGGCCUUACUGAUUCCUCCUUCUUGUAGAACCGUAAUGCCAUUAAGUUGGUGUUGCGGGGAAACAGGACUGUUACUUUGAAAAAAUUAGAGUGUUUAAAGCAGGCUAACGCUUGAAUACAUUAGCAUGGAAUAAUGAAAUAGGACCUUCGAUCCUAUUUUGUUGGUUUCUAGGAUUGACGUAAUGAUUAAUAGGGAUAGUUGGGGGCAUUAGUACUCAAUUGUCAGAGGUGAACUUCUUGGAUUUAUUGAAGACUAACUACUGCGAAAGCAUUUGCCAAGGAUGUUUUCAUUAAUCAAGAACGAAAGUUAGGGGAUCGAAGACGAUCAGAUACCGUCGUAGUCUUAACCAUAAACUAUGCCGACUAGGGAUCGGAUGAUGUUAAUUUUUUAAUGACUCAUUCGGCGCCUUACGGGAAACCAAAGUGUUUGGGUUC